AGGAAAUGAAGGGCCAGAUCUUGGGACCUUGCAUAAUGGUAUUCCAUGGCUAUUGACUGUUGCUGCAGGGACUAUUGAUCGCUCAUUUGCUGGGACUUUAACUCUAGGCAAUGGCCAAACCAUCAUUGGAUGGACUUUGUUCCCAGCUAAUGCGUUGGUUAAUAAUCUACCGCUGGUUUACAACAAGACCUUUUCAAAAUGCAACUCCACUGAGCUGUUAUCUCAAGCUCGGUUUGGCAUCAUCUUGUGUGACGAUAUUGGGGGUGUUUUUGAUCAAAUAAAUGCUAUUGCAGCCUCUCCAAAUGUGGCUGCUGCUAUUUUCAUUUCAAAUGAUCCAACUUUGUUUGAAUUAGGUGGUGUUUAUAGUCCUUCCGUUGUGCUUAGCCCUCGUGAUGCACCGGCAGUCAUUAAAUAUGCCACAACUGAUGAGAAUCCUUCCGCUAGCAUGAAGUUCCAGCAAACCAUUCUGGGCACAAAGCCUGCGCCGGCUGCAGCUUCUUACACUUCGAGAGGACCCUCACCGAGCUAUCCUUACAUUUUGAAGCCGGAUAUAAUGGCACCUGGUUCUUUAGUUUUGGCAUCUUGGGUUCCAAAUGGCUAUUCAGCUCAAAUUGGGUUGAACAUAUACUUGUCUAGUGAUUUCAAUAUGGUCUCUGGCACAUCGAUGGCUUGUCCUCAUGCUUCUGGCCUGGCUGCGCUCCUGAAAGGUGCUCACCCUGAAUGGAGUCCUGCAGCUAUUCGGUCUGCCAUGAUGACCACUGCAAACCCAUUAGAUAACACUGAAAAUCCAAUCAUAGACAACGGUGCUGAAAAGUUCGCAUACGCGUCUCCUUUAGCUAUGGGAGCUGGCCAAAUUGAUCCUAAUCGAGCACUGGACCCAGGUCUGAUUUAUGAUGCCACCCCACAAGACUACGUAAAUCUCCUAUGCUCCAUGAAUUACACAAAAAAUCAAAUUUUGGCUAUUACAAGAUCAAACAGUUACAAUUGUUCAAACCCAUCUCCUGAUCUCAAUUACCCAUCCUUUAUCGCUUUGUAUGAUAACAAAACAAGAUCAGUGUUGGUCCAGAAGUUUCAGAGGACAGUAACAAAUGUGGGAGAAAAUGCGGCAACUUAUAACGCUAAGGUCACUGCACCAAAGGGUUCGAUAAUUACCAUCUCACCAACGACCUUGGUGUUUGGUAAAAUAUAUGAAAAGCAAAGCUAUAGUCUUACUAUAAAGUACAAAGGGGACAAGAAAAUGAGUGUCCAGUUUGGUUCCCUUGUUUGGACAGAAGAGAAUGGGUUUCACACUGUUAGGAGCCCCAUUGCAAUUUCCCCUCUGGUAAUUGCUUGAGGAGUUGUCAGCAUUAUUGUUUAAUGUAUCGGCAAACCAAUGAACCUUAUGUGUAAUAUCAAAACAAA
RNAcentral lists this unclassified non-coding RNA (1401 nucleotides) under Hevea brasiliensis (rubber tree). The record is from RNAcentral. Lineage: Eukaryota; Viridiplantae; Streptophyta; Magnoliopsida; Malpighiales; Euphorbiaceae.